This 478-nucleotide ribosomal RNA is filed under the name uncultured bacterium. Its description in RNAcentral is "partial 16S ribosomal RNA". It matches the Rfam family "Bacterial small subunit ribosomal RNA", at positions 28 to 507 of the family's 1533-position model. The record is from RNAcentral.
GAUGAACGCUGGCGGCGUGCCUAACACAUGCAAGUCGAACGGAGUCCAGCCUUUAAGACCUUCGGGUCAAAGAGGGGAAGACUGAGUGGCGGACGGGUGAGUAACUCGUGGGCAACCUGGCUCAUAGAGGGGGAUAACAGAGAGAAAUUUCUGCUAAUACCGCAUAAGCACACACUGCCGCAUGGCAGAGGGUGAAAAGAGAAUCGCUAUGAGAUGGACCCGCGUCUGAUUAGCCAGUUGGCAGGGUAAGAGCCUACCAAAGCGACGAUCAGUAGCCGAUCUGAGAGGAUGAACGGCCACAUUGGGACUGAGACACGGCCCAAACUCCUACGGGAGGCAGCAGUGGGGGAUAUUGCACAAUGGGGGGAACCCUGAUGCAGCGACGCCGCGUGAGUGAAGAAGUAUUUCGGUAUGUAAAGCUCUAUCAGCAGGGAAGAUAAUGACAGUACCUGAAUAAGAAGCCCCGGCUAACUACGUG